Molecule: long non-coding RNA, 292 nt
Organism: Thalassophryne amazonica
Lineage: Eukaryota; Metazoa; Chordata; Actinopteri; Batrachoidiformes; Batrachoididae
Exons: 3
Source: RefSeq, a predicted model, not a curated record
UGUGGCUCUUAGGCAGGCUCUGACCCAUCGAUUUCUAUUUACUCACUAGAUGGAGGACCGGGGUGAUCCGCUCAUUCGCUGGCUGUUGCCAGAGCGCCGCCAUCUUGGUUAGCAUCUGACAACCAGACAUCAAUAGAAAUCUAUGUGGAGAUGAUCAAUGUUUUCAAGAGAGUUUCACCAUAAAGCUACAUUAUCCGUGCUAUUACUGUGCUGGUGCAUUUAUUCAAACUCAGUCCCACAUUUGUACAGCCAAUAUUUGUCAAAACAAAUAGAGAAGAGGAUCAGACUAUUU